GGGUUGUGAGGUUAAGCGACUAAGCGUACACGGUGGAUGCCUAGGCAGUCAGAGGCGAUGAAGGGCGUGCUAAUCUGCGAAAAGCGUCGGUAAGCUGAUAUGAAGCGUUAUAACCGACGAUACCCGAAUGGGGAAACCCAGUGCAAUACGUUGCACUAUCGUUAGAUGAAUACAUAGUCUAACGAGGCGAACCGGGGGAACUGAAACAUCUAAGUACCCCGAGGAAAAGAAAUCAACCGAGAUUCCCCCAGUAGCGGCGAGCGAACGGGGAGGAGCCCAGAGUCUGAAUCAGUUUGUGUGUUAGUGGAAGCGUCUGGAAAGUCGCACGGUACAGGGUGAUAGUCCCGUACACCAAAAUGCACAGGCUGUGAACUCGAUGAGUAGGGCGGGACACGUGACAUCCUGUCUGAAUAUGGGGGGACCAUCCUCCAAGGCUAAAUACUCCUGACUGACCGAUAGUGAACCAGUACCGUGAGGGAAAGGCGAAAAGAACCCCGGCGAGGGGAGUGAAAUAGAACCUGAAACCGUGUACGUACAAGCAGUGGGAGCACCUUCGUGGUGUGACUGCGUACCUUUUGUAUAAUGGGUCAGCGACUUAUAUUUUGUAGCAAGGUUAACCGAAUAGGGGAGCCGUAGGGAAACCGAGUCUUAACUGGGCGUCUAGUUGCAAGGUAUAGACCCGAAACCCGGUGAUCUAGCCAUGGGCAGGUUGAAGGUUGGGUAACACUAACUGGAGGACCGAACCGACUAAUGUUGAAAAAUUAGCGGAUGACUUGUGGCUGGGGGUGAAAGGCCAAUCAAACCGGGAGAUAGCUGGUUCUCCCCGAAAGCUAUUUAGGUAGCGCCUCGUGAACUCAUCUUCGGGGGUAGAGCACUGUUUCGGCUAGGGGGCCAUCCCGGCUUACCAAACCGAUGCAAACUCCGAAUACCGAAGAAUGUUAUCACGGGAGACACACGGCGGGUGCUAACGUCCGUCGUGAAGAGGGAAACAACCCAGACCGCCAGCUAAGGUCCCAAAGUCAUGGUUAAGUGGGAAACGAUGUGGGAAGGCACAGACAGCCAGGAUGUUGGCUUAGAAGCAGCCAUCAUUUAAAGAAAGCGUAAUAGCUCACUGGUCGAGUCGGCCUGCGCGGAAGAUGUAACGGGGCUAAACCAUGCACCGAAGCUGCGGCAGCGACACUUAGGUGUUGUUGGGUAGGGGAGCGUUCUGUAAGCCGUUGAAGGUGACCUGUGAGGGUUGCUGGAGGUAUCAGAAGUGCGAAUGCUGACAUAAGUAACGAUAAUGCGGGUGAAAAACCCGCACGCCGGAAGACCAAGGGUUCCUGUCCAACGUUAAUCGGGGCAGGGUGAGUCGACCCCUAAGGCGAGGCUGAAAAGCGUAGUCGAUGGGAAACAGGUUAAUAUUCCUGUACUUGGUGUUACUGCGAAGGGGGGACGGAGAAGGCUAGGCUGGCCGGGCGACGGUUGUCCCGGUUUAAGCGUGUAGGGGGAGUGACCAGGUAAAUCCGGUUGCUUAUCAACCCUGAGGCGUGAUGACGAUGCACCACGGUGCAGAAGCAGUUGAUGCCAUGCUUCCAGGAAAAGCCUCUAAGCAUCAGGUAACAUUAAAUCGUACCCCAAACCGACACAGGUGGUCAGGUAGAGAAUACUCAGGCGCUUGAGAGAACUCGGGUGAAGGAACUAGGCAAAAUGGUGCCGUAACUUCGGGAGAAGGCACGCUGGCGUUAGGUGAAAGGACUAGCUCCUGGAGCUGAAGCCAGUCGCAGAUACCAGCUGGCUGCAACUGUUUAAUAAAAACACAGCACUGUGCAAACACGAAAGUGGACGUAUACGGUGUGACGCCUGCCCGGUGCUGGAAGGUUAAUUGAUGGGGUCAGCCGCAAGGGGAAGCUCUUGAUCGAAGCCCCAGUAAACGGCGGCCGUAACUAUAACGGUCCUAAGGUAGCGAAAUUCCUUGUCGGGUAAGUUCCGACCUGCACGAAUGGCGUAAUGAUGGCCAGGCUGUCUCCACCCGAGACUCAGUGAAAUUGAACUCGCUGUGAAGAUGCAGUGUACCCGCGGCAAGACGGAAAGACCCCGUGAACCUUUACUAUAGCUUGACACUGAACAUUGAGCCUUGAUGUGUAGGAUAGGUGGGAGGCCUUGAAGUGUGGACGCCAGUCUGCAUGGAGCCAACCUUGAAAUACCACCCUUUAAUGUUUGAUGUUCUAACUCGGCCCCAUGAUCUGGGGUGAGGACAGUGUCUGGUGGGUAGUUUGACUGGGGCGGUCUCCUCCCAAAGAGUAACGGA
Molecule: ribosomal RNA, 2290 nt
Filed under: Yersinia pestis
Lineage: Bacteria; Pseudomonadati; Pseudomonadota; Gammaproteobacteria; Enterobacterales; Yersiniaceae
Description: bacterial LSU rRNA
Rfam family: Bacterial large subunit ribosomal RNA
Source: RNAcentral